This 528-nucleotide ribosomal RNA is filed under the name uncultured bacterium. RNAcentral describes it as "bacterial SSU rRNA". It matches the Rfam family "Bacterial small subunit ribosomal RNA", at positions 786 to 1308 of the family's 1533-position model. The record is from RNAcentral.
CCUGGUAGUCCACGCCUUAAACGAUGAGUACUAGAUGUUUGGUGCCAAGCGUACUGAGUGUCGUAGUUAACGCGAUAAGUAUUCCGCCUGGGAAGUACGGCCGCAAGGUUAAAACUCAAAGGAAUUGACGGGGGGCCCGCACAAGCGGUGGAGCAUGUUGGUUUAAUUCGAUGCAACGCGAAGAACCUUACCUGGGCUUGACAUGUCUGGAAUCCUGCAGAGAUGCGGGAGUGCCCUUCGGGGAAUCAGAACACAGGUGCUGCAUGGCUGUCGUCAGCUCGUGUCGUGAGAUGUUGGGUUAAGUCCCGCAACGAGCGCAACCCUUGUCCUUAGUUGCCAGCGGUUCGGCCGGGCACUCUAGGGAGACUGCCGGUGACAAACCGGAGGAAGGUGGGGAUGACGUCAAGUCCUCAUGGCCUUUAUGUCCAGGGCUACACACGUGCUACAAUGGCGCGUACAGAGGGAAGCCAAGCCGCGAGGUGGAGCAGACCCCAGUAAGCGCGUCUGUAGUUCUGGAUUGCAGUCUGC